RNAcentral lists this ribosomal RNA (253 nucleotides) under uncultured bacterium. RNAcentral describes it as "partial 16S ribosomal RNA". It matches the Rfam family "Bacterial small subunit ribosomal RNA", at positions 524 to 776 of the family's 1533-position model. The record is from RNAcentral.
UACAGAGGUCCCAAGCGUUGUUCGGAUUCAUUGGACGUAAAGGGUGCGUAGGCGGCGCGGUAAGUCGGGUGUGAAAUCUCGGGGCUUAACUCCGAAACUGCAUUCGAUACUGCCGUGCUUGAGGACUGGAGAGGAGACUGGAAUUUACGGUGUAGCGGUGAAAUGCGUAGAUAUCGUAAGGAAGACCAGUGGCGAAGGCGGGUCUCUGGACAGUUCCUGACGCUGAGGCACGAAGGCCAGGGGAGCAAACGGG